Molecule: long non-coding RNA, 1396 nt
Organism: Oncorhynchus tshawytscha (Chinook salmon)
Lineage: Eukaryota; Metazoa; Chordata; Actinopteri; Salmoniformes; Salmonidae
Source: Ensembl
UUUUGUUGAAAAAUCCCUUUCAUUCUCCGGGGUACACGGGAAAGAUGCAAAUUAAAAGCGAGGGUCGACCUCUGCCUGAGAUCAGUUUAAUCAAGAAGGAUGAAAAGGCGAGGGCGUUCAAUACCAACAGGUAUCAAAAGUAUAGCUGGUUAACAUGGAGCAUUUCAUCAAGCCGCCUUAAUUGCUGGCCUUGCCUGCUUUUUGGAAAGUCUGAGGUUUGUUCGAAAGGUGGGUACAGUGACCAGAAGAACAUCGACCAUUCUGCUAAACGGCAAAACAAAAGCAGGGAGCAUAUAAAUGCCCACAUCAGAUUCAAGCUUCUGGGAAAAAGCUGCAUCGAUUAUGACAAAGGUCUGCAUAUUCAAGCUGCGCAACACAACGAUAAAGUAAGAAGAAACAGGGAUGUUCUCAAGCGGCUUAUCAACACCACUGCGUUUUUGUGCAUGCAAAGAUUUGCAUUUAGAGGACACGACGAGAGGGAAAGUUCCGCCAAGAAGGGCAACUAUAAUGAGCUUGCAGAGCUAAGUCCCCUCCUGUUCCCUGAUUAAGAGGUGAUGACUACUCCACUCAACUUCCACUGUCAACUUACUCAUGACAUGAACUGAAGCCACAUCUCAUGUGCCUACUCAUCCACUGGCACAUUGAAUGUUUUCCCUCCACUCACUUCAACUCCUGUCCUGCACUGGUCAAGCCUCUGAACACCUCAACUCAUGCCUCAUACCCUCAUUCAAGCCCUGCUGUGAUCCCUUUCCAACUGUACACACAAAGUGAAGAGUUCACCCGAACGUCCCAAGGCCCCACUUAUGGAGUGGUGGAGUAUGGGUAAUGGCUUUGUUUUUCCAUACCACCUCUGAGGACACCCGUCAUCCAUCCUGCUACCCUCUCUCCUGAACGCAUUUCCCCAGAGCACCUGACAUACAAUUAAACACAUCGACUCCCCCACUGAAGCCUCUCCUCGUCAAGAACAUGAGCAGCCACUGCAGAUGGACCGCAACUCAGAGUUGGACUCCUGGGAGAACAUUUUGGGGCUGGAAGGUGGCUACUGCAACAAGAGUGCUGUAACUUAAGCUCUAGCAUCCAAUUAGUUCCGCCACCUAUCGGACUGAAUAUUCUGAUGAUUGCGCUGGGUCAGAGGCUAGUCUGUGUAGGUGCUUAAGAGGGAGUAUCCAUUCACAGAGGAGCAUACUGUAGUUAUGUAAGUCCUCUGUUCUGUGCCUACUCCACCUCAACAACAUUGACAGGGGCAAAGGGAGGGAUUUUAUGGGCAAUCAGACUGGCCCUGUAGCCAACCACUUGCUCAGCUGUGCCAGGUCCUAGGUCACUCCCAGCAGCACUCUCUAGUGUAAUUUAUGAAGUUAAGUGCAAUGCUUUCAUCAAUUUCCCAGUUCUAAUUUCU